Molecule: ribosomal RNA, 497 nt
Filed under: uncultured bacterium
Lineage: Bacteria
Description: partial 16S ribosomal RNA
Rfam family: Bacterial small subunit ribosomal RNA
Source: RNAcentral
GAUGAACGCUGGCGGCGUGCCUAAUACAUGCAAGUCGAGCGAACAGAUGAGGAGCUUGCUCCUCUGACGUUAGCGGCGGACGGGUGAGUAACACGUGGAUAACCUACCUAUAAGACUGGGAUAACUUCGGGAAACCGGAGCUAAUACCGGAUAAUAUAUUGAACCGCAUGGUUCAAUAGUGAAAGACGGUUUUGCUGUCACUUAUAGAUGGAUCCGCGCCGCAUUAGCUAGUUGGUAAGGUAACGGCUUACCAAGGCGACGAUGCGUAGCCGACCUGAGAGGGUGAUCGGCCACACUGGAACUGAGACACGGUCCAGACUCCUGCGGGAGGCAGCAGUAGGGAAUCUUCCGCAAUGGGCGAAAGCUUGACGGAGCAACGCCGCGUGAGUGAUGAAGGUCUUCGGAUCGUAAAACUCUGUUAUUAGGGAAGAACAAAUGUGUAAGUAACUAUGCACGUCUUGACGGUACCUAAUCAGAAAGCCACGGCUAACUACGUG